UACGUAAGGUCCGAGCGUUGUCCGGAAUCACUGGGCGUAAAGGGUACGCAGGCGGUUAGGAAAGUCAGAUGUAAAAGGCUGUAGCUUAACUAUAGUAAGCAUUUAAAACUGUAUAACUUGAGAAGAGGAGAGGAAAGUGGAAUUCUUAGUGUAGCGGUGAAAUGCGCAGAUAUUAAGAAGAAUACCGGUGGCGAAGGCGACUUUCUGGGCUUUAUCUGACGCUGAGGUACGAAAGCGUGGGUAGCAAACAGG
This 252-nucleotide ribosomal RNA is filed under the name uncultured bacterium. RNAcentral describes it as "partial 16S ribosomal RNA". It matches the Rfam family "Bacterial small subunit ribosomal RNA", at positions 524 to 776 of the family's 1533-position model. The record is from RNAcentral.